CGAAUAACCUAUACAUAGCCAACACAAUUAGGAUUGUAUGGUGUUGAGUAGGAAUGCGUGAUGAAUGUUGUGAAGUAUAUCGUGUGAACGAAUAUGGAACAUUCAUUAGUGCAGAUCUUGGUGGAAGUAGCAAAUAUUCAAAUGAGAUCUUUGAAGACUGAAGUGGAGAAAGGUUCCAUAGGAAUAGUGAUUAUCUAUGGGUUAGUCGAUCCUAAGAGAUAAGUGAAAUCUGUUGAAAGUAUAACAUUUGGUUAUAAGUUAUCGAAAGGGAAUCAGGUUAAUAUUCCUGAACCAAAUAGUAUAAGAAACGGUAACGUAUAUUCCUCUUGAGACAUUUCUAUUAUUCCCAGGAAGAGUUUUCUUUUCUUGUUAACAAUAUUUGAGUGCUUGGAAUUAAUUCAGUUAGCGAUAAGCAUUGAAUAUUGGUAAAGUAGUAUACUAUUGUAUAUUAUCUGGUGCAAUGAUAGGGAUCCUUGAAAAUGAAGAGGUAAAAUCUUAGAAUAUUUGGUCGUACUAAUAACCGCAUCAGGUCUCCAAGGUGAAUAGCCUCUAGUUAAUAGAAUAAUGUAGAUAAGGGAAGUCGGCAAAUUAGAUCCGUAACUUCGGGAAAAGGAUUGGCUCUGAGGGCUAAGUGGAUAUGAGUGUUAGGUAUGUGUUGGUGUAGUGUUCGUGUUGUUUUUGAUGGCUUCGGUUGUUGAGAAUGGCAUUUAUAUAAUUCCUUCCCAUCCUGUCACUCUCCCACUAUGAAUAGCUAACUCAGAACUGGUACGGACAAGGGGAAUCCGACUGUUUAAUUAAAACAAAGCAUUGUGAUAGUGUGAAAGAUAUAUUGACACAAUGUGAAUUCUGCCCAGUGCUCUGAAUGUCAAAGUGGCGUAAUUCAACCAAGCGCGGGUAAACGGCGGGAGUAACUAUGACUCUCUUAAGGUAGCCAAAUGCCUCGUCAUCUAAUUAGUGACGCGCAUGAAUGGAUUAAUGAGAUUCCCACUGUCCCUAUCUACUAUCUAGCGAAACCACAGCCAAGGGAACGGGCUUGGAAAAAUCAGCGGGGAAAGAAGACCCUGUUGAGCUUGACUCUAGUUUAACAUUGUGAAAUGACUUUAGAGGUGUAGCAUAGGUGGGAGAAGCAAUUCGAUCCUGAAAUACCACUACUCUGAAUGUUGUUUUACUUAUUCCAUGAAAAAGGAUAGUAUAUUCGUAUACUGUUAAGAAGUAAAUUGGUUAAUCCAAUGACCUAAAUGGGAGACAUUGUUAGGUGGGGAGUUCGGCUGG
Molecule: ribosomal RNA, 1272 nt
Filed under: human gut metagenome
Description: eukaryotic LSU rRNA
Rfam family: Eukaryotic large subunit ribosomal RNA
Source: RNAcentral